This is a long non-coding RNA of Sapajus apella (tufted capuchin), 150 nucleotides long. RefSeq lists it as uncharacterized. The transcript has 3 exons. Lineage: Eukaryota; Metazoa; Chordata; Mammalia; Primates; Cebidae. The record is from RefSeq and is a predicted model, not a curated record.
GUAUUUUUAGUAGAGACAGGGUUUCACCAUGUUGACCAGGUUGGUCUGGAACUCCUGACCUCAGGUGAUCCUCCCAACUCGGCCUCCCAAAGUGCUGGGAUUACAGGCGUGAACAACUAUGCCCAGCCCCUGAUAAACAUGUACAGAGCA